GCAUUGAUGAUUCAGUGGUAGAAUUCUCACCUUCGAUGUGGGAGACCUGGCUUCGACUCCCAUUGGGUGUA
Molecule: transfer RNA, 71 nt
Filed under: Loxodonta africana (African savanna elephant)
Lineage: Eukaryota; Metazoa; Chordata; Mammalia; Proboscidea; Elephantidae
Rfam family: tRNA
About the family: Transfer RNA (tRNA) molecules are approximately 80 nucleotides in length. Their secondary structure includes four short double-helical elements and three loops (D, anti-codon, and T loops).
Source: Rfam by way of RNAcentral